UGGGGAAUAUUGGACAAUGGAGGGAACUCUGAUCCAGCAAUUCUGUGUGUGUGAAGAAGGUUUUAGGACUGUAAAACACUUUUAGUAGGGAAGAAAAAAAUGACGGUACCUACAGAAGAAGCAACGGCUAAAUACGUGCCAGCAGCCGCGGUAAUACGUAUGUUGCGAGCGUUAUCCGGAAUUAUUGGGCUGAAAGGGCAUCUAGGCGGUAAGACAAGUUGAAGGUGAAAACCUGUGGCUCAACCAUAGGCUUGCCUACAAAACUGUUGAACUAGAGUACUGGAAAGGUGGGUGGAACUACACGAGUAGAGGUGAAAUUCGUAGAUAUGUGUAGGAAUGCCGAUGAUGAAGAUAACUCACUGGACAGAAACUGACGCUGAAGUGCGAAAGCUAGGGGAGCAAACAGG
Molecule: ribosomal RNA, 407 nt
Filed under: Verrucomicrobiota bacterium
Lineage: Bacteria; Pseudomonadati; Verrucomicrobiota
Description: Verrucomicrobia bacterium partial 16S ribosomal RNA
Rfam family: Bacterial small subunit ribosomal RNA
Source: RNAcentral